This is a non-coding RNA of Branchiostoma floridae (Florida lancelet), 79 nucleotides long. The record is from Rfam. Lineage: Eukaryota; Metazoa; Chordata; Leptocardii; Amphioxiformes; Branchiostomatidae.
UCACAUGUGUUGCCGGGGUAACAAAAACUCUGAGUUCUCUCUGCUUCAGAGUUGUGUUGACCUGGCUCUGUAUGUAUGG